RNAcentral lists this transfer RNA (72 nucleotides) under Caudoviricetes sp. RNAcentral describes it as "tRNA-Asn". It matches the Rfam family "tRNA". From Rfam's summary of the family: Transfer RNA (tRNA) molecules are approximately 80 nucleotides in length. Their secondary structure includes four short double-helical elements and three loops (D, anti-codon, and T loops). Lineage: Duplodnaviria; Heunggongvirae; Uroviricota; Caudoviricetes. The record is from RNAcentral.
UGGCUUGUAGCUCAGCGGUAGAGCAGUCGGCUGUUAACCGACUUGUCGUGGGUUCGAUUCCCACCUUGCCAG